This 494-nucleotide ribosomal RNA is filed under the name uncultured bacterium. RNAcentral's name for it is "partial 16S ribosomal RNA". It matches the Rfam family "Bacterial small subunit ribosomal RNA", at positions 28 to 507 of the family's 1533-position model. The record is from RNAcentral.
GACGAACGCUGGCGGCGUGCUUAACACAUGCAAGUCGAACGGAAAGGCCUGCUUUCCCUUGUGGAUUGCGGGUACUCGAGUGGCGAACGGGAGAGUAACACGUGAGUGAUCUUCCCCCAACUUUGGUAUAAGCCUGGGAAACUGGGUCUAAUUCCCGAUAGGACUGCAGGGUGGUGCCUGUGGUGGAAAACGAUUUUCUAGUGGUUGGGGAUGAGCUCGCGGCCUAUCAGCUUGUUGGUUGGGUAAUGGCCUACCAAGGCGGCGACGGGUAGCCGGCCUGAGAGGGUGGACGGCACAAUUGGGACUGAGAUACGGCCCAGACUCCUACGGGAGGAAGCAGUGGGGAAUAUUGCACAAUGGGCGGAAGCCUGAUGCAGCGACGCAGCGUGGGGGAUGACGGGCUUCGGGUUGUAAACUCCUUUCGACCGGGAGGAAGCCACCUGGUUGGAAGGGUGGUGACGGUAGUGGUAGAAGAAGCACCGGCUAACUACGUG